ACACUCCUGCGGGAGGCAGCAGUGGGGAAUAUUGCACAAUGGGCGCAAGCCUGAUGCAGCCAUGCCGCGUGUGUGAAGAAGGCCUUCGGGUUGUAAAGCACUUUCAGCGGGGAGGAAGGCGAUACGGUUAAUAACCGUGUUGAUUGACGUUACCCGCAGAAGAAGCACCGGCUAACUCCGUGCCAGCAGCCGCGGUAAUACGGAGGGUGCAAGCGUUAAUCGGAAUUACUGGGCGUAAAGCGCACGCAGGCGGUCUGUCAAGUCGGAUGUGAAAUCCCCGGGCUCAACCUGGGAACUGCAUUCGAAACUGGCAGGCUUGAGUCUUGUAGAGGGGGGUAGAAUUCCAGGUGUAGCGGUGAAAUGCGUAGAGAUCUGGAGGAAUACCGGUGGCGAAGGCGGCCCCCUGGACAAAGACUGACGCUCAGGUGCGAAAGCGUGGGGAGCAAACAGGAUUAGAUACCCGAGUAGUCCCAUGAU
RNAcentral lists this ribosomal RNA (477 nucleotides) under uncultured organism. RNAcentral describes it as "partial 16S ribosomal RNA". It matches the Rfam family "Bacterial small subunit ribosomal RNA", at positions 333 to 801 of the family's 1533-position model. The record is from RNAcentral.